Molecule: ribosomal RNA, 460 nt
Filed under: uncultured bacterium
Lineage: Bacteria
Description: partial 16S ribosomal RNA
Rfam family: Bacterial small subunit ribosomal RNA
Source: RNAcentral
CCUACGGGCGGCACCAGUGAGGAAUAUUGGUCAAUGGACGAGAGUCUGAACCAGCCAAGUAGCGUGAAGGAUGACUGCCCUAUGGGUUGUAAACUUCUUUUAUAUGGGAAUAAAAUGUUCCACGUGUGGGAUUUUGUAUGUACCAUAUGAAUAAGGAUCGGCUAACUCCGUGCCAGCAGCCGCGGUAAUACGGAGGAUCCGAGCGUUAUCCGGAUUUAUUGGGUUUAAAGGGAGCGUAGGUGGAUUGUUAAGUCAGUUGUGAAAGUUUGCGGCUCAACCGUAAAAUUGCAGUUGAAACUGGCAGUCUUGAGUACAGUAGAGGUGGGCGGAAGUCGUGGUGUAGCGGUGAAAUGCUUAGAUAUCACGAAGAACUCCGAUUGCGAAGGCAGUUCACUGGACUGCAACUGACACUGAGGCUCGAAAGUGUGGGUAUCAAACAGGAUUAGAUACCCUAGUAGUC